This 119-nucleotide ribosomal RNA is filed under the name Vigna radiata var. radiata (mung bean). Lineage: Eukaryota; Viridiplantae; Streptophyta; Magnoliopsida; Fabales; Fabaceae. The record is from RNAcentral.
AGGUGCGAUCAUACCAGCACUAAUGAAUCGGUUCCUAUCAGAACUCNGUAGUGAAGCAACCUUGGGCGAGAGUAGUACUAGGAUGGGUGACCUCCUGGGAAGUCCUCGUGUUAUACNUU